UGGCGCUGAGCUGCUGUGGAAAGGUGUGCAAAUACGUGUGGUGAGGGUCUGCGUGGAUCCUGAGGCUGCCGAGUGCUUAGCCAGGCCCUGCUCUGGCUGCAAAGGGCUGGCCUCAGCUCUGUUUCACCAUUCUGGUGAGGUGCUGUGGAGACUCUGCCAGGCUGAUAUGGAGGGGGCCCUAGCCCCAGAGAAUCAUCUCACGCACCAGCGCACGGCGUCUGAAGACAACCUGUAGGAGUCGGUUCUCUCCCUCCACCAUGUGGGCUCCUGGAAUCAAGCUCUUCAGGCUUGGCAGCAGGCACCGUGCUUUGGGCUAAGCUCUGGGCUCUUGUCGGUGCUUGUUGGACCCUGAAGGCAGACACACCAGCCCUGAAUGGCCAAACAGCUUGGUGCCACGAGAGUCACCAGGGAGGUCUGUGCAGGCUGGUGGAAGUGGGCAGACGUG
This is a long non-coding RNA of Meriones unguiculatus (Mongolian gerbil), 445 nucleotides long. RefSeq lists it as uncharacterized. The record is from RefSeq and is a predicted model, not a curated record. Lineage: Eukaryota; Metazoa; Chordata; Mammalia; Rodentia; Muridae. The transcript is spliced from 3 exons.